RNAcentral lists this non-coding RNA (1129 nucleotides) under Clostridiales bacterium. Its description in RNAcentral is "bacterial LSU rRNA". It matches the Rfam family "Bacterial large subunit ribosomal RNA", at positions 376 to 1518 of the family's 2925-position model. Lineage: Bacteria; Bacillati; Bacillota; Clostridia; Eubacteriales. RNAcentral also lists the same sequence under 1 other name. The record is from RNAcentral.
UAAGCGAAAGAGUCAACCAGCUAACUGAUACCAGAGUACCGCAGGGCACGUGAAACCCGGCGGGAAGCAGGGAGGACCACCUUCCAAGCCUAAAUACGAUAUGGUGACCGAUAGCGCAUAGUACCGUGAGGGAAAGGUGAAAAGAACCCCGGGAGGGGAGUGAAAGAGAACCUGAAACCCUGUGUUUACAAGCAGAGAAAGUACAUGUUAUGUACGAUCUCGUACUUUUUGUAGAACGGACCGGCGAGUUACGUUAUGCAGCGAGGUUAAGGACUGAAGGUCCGGAGCCGAAGCGAAAGCGAGUUUGAAUAGGGCGAUAGUUGCAUGACGUAGACCCGAAACCGGGUGACCUAUCCAUGGCCAGGUUGAAGUGGGAGUAAAAUCCCAUGGAGGACCGAACCAGACGUCUGUUGAAAAAGGCGGGGAUGAGCUGUGGAUAGGGGAGAAAUUCCAAUCGAACCCGGAGAUAGCUGGUUCUCCUCGAAAUAGCUUUAGGGCUAGCCUCAUGGAUAAUUGAUGGGGGUAGAGCACUGAAUGGGCGCGGGGGACUCAAAUCCUACCAAACUCUAUCAAACUGCGAAUACCAUACAAUGCAAACCAUGGGAGUCAGUCCGCGAGAGAUAAGUUCCGCGGGCAAAAGGGGAACACCCCAGAUCAACCGCUAAGGUCCCAAAGUACACGUUAAGUGGAGAAGGAUGUGGAAUUGCACAGACAACCAGGAUGUUGGCUCAGAAGCAGCCACACAUUUAAAGAGUGCGUAAUAGCUCACUGGUCGAGUGGUUGUGCGCCGAAAAUGUCCGGGGCUAAAACGUGACACCGAAGCGAUGGAUGCGCGAAUGCGCGUGGUAGAGGAGCGUUCUGUACGGGCUGAAGCUGUAUUGUGAAGCACAGUGGACUGUACAGAAGAGAGAAUGCCGGUAUGAGUAGCGAGAGCGAAGCGAGAAACUUCGCCGUCGAAAGCCCAAGGUUUCCUGGGGAAGGUUCAUCCACCCAGGGUAAGUCGGGGCCUAAGCCGAGGACGGAAGUCGUAGGCGAUGGACAGCAGGUGUAUAUUCCUGCACUACCGAAGAAUGAAGCAGUGACACAGAAGGAUAGUCUGAGCGGGGUGAUGGUCAACUCCGUACAAGCA